Molecule: ribosomal RNA, 444 nt
Filed under: uncultured bacterium
Lineage: Bacteria
Description: bacterial SSU rRNA
Rfam family: Bacterial small subunit ribosomal RNA
Source: RNAcentral
UCCGUGGCUACAGAACGAACGCUGGCGGCAUGCCUAACACAUGCAAGUCGAACGAGACCUUCGGGUCUAGUGGCGCACGGGUGCGUAACGCGUGGGAAUCUGCCCUGGGGUGCGGAAUAACUCGGAGAAAUCCGUGCUAAUACCGCAUAAUGUCUUCGGACCAAAGAUUUAUCGCCCUGGGAUGAGCCCGCGUAGGAUUAGCUAGUUGGUGGGGUAAAGGCCUACCAAGGCGACGAUCCUUAGCUGGUCUGAGAGGAUGAUCAGCCACACUGGGACUGAGACACGGCCCAGACUCCUACGGGAGGCAGCAGUGGGAAUAUUGGACAAUGGGCGAAAGCCUGAUCCAGCAAUGCCGCGUGAGUGAUGAAGGCCCUAGGGUUGUAAAGCUCUUUACCCGGGAUGAUAAUGACAGUACCGGGAGAAUAAGCUCCGGCUAACUCCGUG